Molecule: ribosomal RNA, 570 nt
Filed under: Pediococcus parvulus
Lineage: Bacteria; Bacillati; Bacillota; Bacilli; Lactobacillales; Lactobacillaceae
Description: bacterial SSU rRNA
Rfam family: Bacterial small subunit ribosomal RNA
Source: RNAcentral
UUUCGUUGAUGAAUUAGAGGUGCUUGCACCGAAGAUGAUUUUAGCUAUAAAGUGAGUGGCGAACGGGUGAGUAACACGUGGGUAACCUGCCCAGAAGUGGGGGAUAACACCUGGAAACAGAUGCUAAUACCGCAUAACAAAGUAAACCGCAUGGUUUACUUUUAAAAGAUGGCUUCGGCUAUCACUUCUGGAUGGACCCGCGGCGUAUUAGCUAGUUGGUGAGAUAAAGGCUCACCAAGGCAGUGAUACGUAGCCGACCUGAGAGGGUAAUCGGCCACAUUGGGACUGAGACACGGCCCAGACUCCUACGGGAGGCAGCAGUAGGGAAUCUUCCACAAUGGACGAAAGUCUGAUGGAGCAACGCCGCGUGAGUGAUGAAGGCUUUAGGGUCGUAAAACUCUGUUGUUGGAGAAGAACGUGUGUGAGAGUAACUGCUCAUGCAGUGACGGUAUCCAACCAGAAAGCCACGGCUAACUACGUGCCAGCAGCCGCGGUAAUACGUAGGUGGCAAGCGUUAUCCGGAUUUAUUGGGCGUAAAGCGAGCGCAGGCGGUCUUUUAAGUCUAAUGUG